GACGAACGCUGGCGGCGUGCUUAACACAUGCAAGUCGAACGGUGAACCUCUUCGGAGGGGAUCAGUGGCGAACGGGUGAGUAACACGUGGGCAACCUGCCCCCGGCUCUGGGAUAACUCCAAGAAAUUGGGGCUAAUACCGGAUGUUCACCGCUUCCCGCAUGGGUGGUGGUGCAAAGGGUUUCCGGCUGGGGAUGGGCCCGCGGCCUAUCAGCUUGUUGGUGGGGUAGUGGCCUACCAAGGCGACGACGGGUAGCCGGCCUGAGAGGGUGACCGGCCACACUGGGACUGAGACACGGCCCAGACUCCUACGGGAGGCAGCAGUGGGGAAUAUUGCGCAAUGGGCGGAAGCCUGACGCAGCGACGCCGCGUGGGGGAUGACGGCCUUCGGGUUGUAAACCUCUUUCAGCAGGGACGAAGCGCAAGUGACGGUACCUGCAGAAGAAGCACUGGCCAACUACGUG
Molecule: ribosomal RNA, 463 nt
Filed under: uncultured bacterium
Lineage: Bacteria
Description: partial 16S ribosomal RNA
Rfam family: Bacterial small subunit ribosomal RNA
Source: RNAcentral